GGGCCUCGAAUGUAAUGUGCAAUCCCCGUGUGAAGCUGUGCACUUGUUCCUACGACAAAGCAAGACACCGUGGGGGCAGUUUUGAGGUCGAAGGCCGUACUCAUGGUUGGCAUUGCCGCUGACUGUUGGGUGCACUACAUAUUUAUACAGAGAUAUGGAGGGUUACAGGAGAGGUGAAGAUAUUGCUCUCGAGAGAGGAUGUCCCGUCUAGAAACCGUGGUACGCGUCGUGCUGUUUGACAACCUCAGUAGUUAUCGUGCAUUUAUCUGGAGUGACUGCGAGGGUCUUGGCCCGUUUAACGCUGGCAGGUGGUGUCCAUAGGUCGGCAACUAAGGCGGGUCCUGCGGGUCCAUACCACAGUACCCGCAGCCGAAAUUCGGCUUAAGGCCCCGGCUGCGAGUCCCUAAUGAUCAAAUUUUGACCAAAAGACGUGAUUUGCAGCCUCUAUUGCGGCCGUAGGGCCACGUGCUGGACUUGAACUCCGUGUUUGACUUUGUAAAAGACUUUCAUGACCACCUCUACACAAUUCGGCGACGGUUGUCAUAAAUAAAUUAUCACAGGUUUAGCGACGGUACUGGUGACUUGCAGCUGCUGCAGCACUUGACUUGGUCAAUUGUGGAUUUUGAUAUGCCACAUGGAACAUGUUCCAUGUGGGCUAUCCACUGGUACCAUGCUAAAACGCUGCCUGUAUGCAUAUGCUUACAAACAGAGUGAGGCAUGCACAGUUGUGAGCUCUGAAAACAAGUUAUUUGUGGUUUCUGCAGCCGUGGGGAUGAGACCUGCAUAAGGUCGCCGGGCACUGUUCAGGCCAUGCACCGCUUCACAUGCUGGACGGCUUAAGAUCACCAUCAGACCCCACGGAGACACCUGUGCAGAUCCUCUGUAUACUGAAGCCACACACCUCUUCUGUGCUCCUGUCUACCUAUAUUCUUGUGGCUCUGCCGAUUCUGACGGAAUUGCUGACCGUGCUUGGAAUGGUAGAGAUGUGAAGCGGGGAGACCAGCUGCCAAGGGCCCUUACACUGCAGAAUGUGUUGAUCAGGGCUAGCAAGUAGAGGGCUACCAGCUCCCCCGGGGUGGAAUAGAUGUCACCCGGAAGGUUGUCUGCCUUCCACCACCGCAGAACUAGCGCCACAUUGCAGCUUACUCCUUAGUGGUCCUGGCCGUCAGUGAUUCUGGUGCCGCCUGCACCAGUUUCAUGGUGACUGCUUGGGGGUCGGUGGUGGCCCCGUCCCCCAAGGGGCCCAACAAGGCCUGCAUGUGCAGCUAGAUCUGCAGAUGGCAGGCGGCCAGGUCAGCAGGGACACAGAUGCAUGUUUUGCUGGGGCCAGAGAAAUCUAAAAGGAGUGCCAGGGUAGCCCAUGCCGCUGCACCUUUAGGGGCCGUGUUGCCGUUGGAGCCUGGCAGGAACAGGUCCAUGGCUCGGCCCAACAUUACGACUCCGUGAACGAAGGGUUCAAACCAAGCGCCAUCUGUGGUGAUCCUGGCCCACCAGUCCCUGGUCGGCCAGUAUGGUGCAAUCAGGCACACACAGGCCUUGCAAACCUCGGUGUGCUGGAGUAUCAUGCUGAAAGGCGGGUUAUGUAGCAGUCGCUCACCUGACGGGAGGACUGACAGAGCGGAAGCGUGGAGUUAUUAGUCCUCGUCGAUGUAGGAAGAAGUCCAACCAAGCGGCAAGCACUAGCGUACAUAAGAUGUGUACGUAACGGUUAGAGACGGCGGCAGCGGAGUCUUGAACUCCGAACACCUAGUAAUGUGAUACGUCAGUGUCUGGCCAGAACACCCCGCCCGGGUAGCUUAUAUCUCGGCCUAC
Molecule: long non-coding RNA, 1812 nt
Filed under: Volvox carteri
Lineage: Eukaryota; Viridiplantae; Chlorophyta; Chlorophyceae; Chlamydomonadales; Volvocaceae
Description: long non-coding RNA (VCAR_LNC002475)
Source: RNAcentral